Molecule: ribosomal RNA, 822 nt
Filed under: Schmidingerella taraikaensis
Lineage: Eukaryota; Ciliophora; Spirotrichea; Tintinnida; Rhabdonellidae
Description: partial Eukaryotic large subunit ribosomal RNA
Rfam family: Eukaryotic large subunit ribosomal RNA
Source: RNAcentral
ACCUAAGAUCAAGUAAGAGGACCCGCUGGAUUUAAGCAUAUAACUAAGCGGAGGAAAAGAAACUAACAAGGAUUCCCCUAGUAACGGCGAGUGAAGCGGGAAAAGCUCAAAUUGAAAAUCGGCAUGACGUGAAUGCGUUUGUCGAGUUGUAGUCUAAAGAUGCGUGACCCGGAUGAGCGUCGUGGAGAAUUCGGUUGGAAGACCGGGUCACAGAGGGUGACAACCCCGUAUGUGCCACGUCAUGGUAUUUCUCGUCCAACGGGUGCGCUUUUCGAAGAGUCGGGUUGCUUGGGAUUGCAGCUCAAAGUGGGUGGUAAAUUCCAUCUAAAGCUAAAUAUGGGCAAUAGACCGAUAGCGAAAAAGUACCGUGAGGGAAAGAUGAAAAGAACUUUGAAAAGAGAGUGAAAGAGUGCUUGAAAUCGCUAAAAGGGAACCCGUUAGUACCAGUGUGGCAUGUGGGGAUAUUGUGUCUUGUUAUAACAACUUGGCUCGUGUCCUUUCACAUUUUUUUGCCAGUCAACAUGGGUUACUUCCGUAGGAGAUUGCUUGUAGGGAGGUAGUCUGGUCUUGUGUCUUUUCACUUGGUGCCGGAUGUUAUAACCUAUCAGUGCAUGCUAUGGAGGUGACUGAGGAACGAACAGCGAUCAUUCCCUGAUCUGUCCGAUCGUAAGCUCACGCGGCGCACAGCAUGCUUUGCGACGUUGUGGUAUUGUCGAGCGAUUUCGUUGGCAGGAGGGGAGCGUUUUUGUUAAGAUGUUGACAAAAUGGUCCUAACCGACCCGUCUGGAAACACGGACCAAGGAGUCUAACAUAUGUGCGAGU